GAUGAACGCUGGCGGCGUGCCUAAUACAUGCAAGUCGAGCGAACAGACGAGGAGCUUGCUCCUCUGACGUUAGCGGCGGACGGGUGAGUAACACGUGGAUAACCUACCUAUAAGACUGGGAUAACUUCGGGAAACCGGAGCUAAUACCGGAUAAUAUAUUGAACCGCAUGGUUCAAUAGUGAAAGACGGCUUUGCUGUCACUUAUAGAUGGAUCCGCGCCGCAUUAGCUAGUUGGUAAGGUAACGGCUUACCACGGCGACGAUGCGUAGCCGACCUGAGAGGGUGAUCGGCCACACUGGAGCUGGGCCAGGGUCCAGACUCCUACGGGAGGCAGCAGUAGGGAAUCUUCCGCAAUGGGCGAAAGCCUGACGGAGCAACGCCGCGUGAGUGAUGAAGGUCUUCGGAUCGUAAAACUCUGUUAUUAGGGAAGAACAAAUGUGUAAGUAACUAUGCACGUCUUGACGGUACCUAAUCAGAAAGCCACGGCUAACUACGUG
This 497-nucleotide ribosomal RNA is filed under the name uncultured bacterium. RNAcentral's name for it is "partial 16S ribosomal RNA". It matches the Rfam family "Bacterial small subunit ribosomal RNA", at positions 28 to 507 of the family's 1533-position model. The record is from RNAcentral.